RNAcentral lists this ribosomal RNA (404 nucleotides) under uncultured Eubacteriales bacterium. RNAcentral describes it as "uncultured Clostridiales bacterium partial 16S ribosomal RNA". It matches the Rfam family "Bacterial small subunit ribosomal RNA", at positions 355 to 774 of the family's 1533-position model. Lineage: Bacteria; Bacillati; Bacillota; Clostridia; Eubacteriales. The record is from RNAcentral.
UGGGGAAUAUUGGGCAAUGGAGGCAACUCUGACCCAGCAACGCCGCGUGAAGGAUGAAGGUUUUCGGAUUGUAAACUUCUGUCGUGAGGGACGAAGAAUGACUGUACCUCAUAAGAAAGCCACGGCAAACUACGUGCCAGCAGCCGCGGUAAUACGUAGGUGGCAAGCGUUGUCCGGAAUUACUGGGCGUAAAGGGAGUGUAGGCGGCGCGAUAAGUUAUAUGUGAAAUACCGCGGCUCAACUGCGGAACUGCAUAUAAAACUGUCGUGCUUAGAGUGUGGGAGAGGUAAGUGGAAUUCCUAGUGUAGCGGUGGAAUGCGUAGAUAUUAGGAGGAACACCAGUGGCGAAGGCGGCUUACUGGACCAUAACUGACGCUGAGGCUCGAAAGCGUGGGGAGCAAACA